CAAUAGCGUAUAUUUAAGUUGUUGCAGUUAAAAAGCUCGUAGUUGGAUUUCGGUUAAGAGCGACCGGUCCGCCGUUUGGUGUGCACUGGUUGGUUUUAACUUCCUGUAGAGGACGUGCUCCGGGUUUAACGACCUGGACUCGGAGUCUACGUGGUUACUUUGAAAAAAUUAGAGUGUUCAAAGCGGGCUUACGCUUGAAUAUUUCAGCAUGGAAUAACACUAUAGGACUCCUGUCCUAUUUCGUUGGUCUCGGGACGGGAGUAAUGAUUAAGAGGAACAGUUGGGGGCAUUCGUAUUUCAUUGUCAGAGGUGAAAUUCUCGGAUUUAUGAAAGACGAACUUCUGCGAAAGCAUUUGCCAAGGAUGUUUUCAUUAA
Molecule: ribosomal RNA, 375 nt
Filed under: uncultured eukaryote
Lineage: Eukaryota
Description: partial 18S ribosomal RNA
Rfam family: Eukaryotic small subunit ribosomal RNA
Source: RNAcentral